AUUGAACGCUGGCGGCAUGCUUAACACAUGUAAGUCGAACGGCAGCAUGUUUUGUAGCAAUACAAAAUGAUGGCGAGUGGCGGACGGGUGAGAAACGCGUAGGAAUCUACCCUAAAGAGGGGGGCAACCCGAGGAAACUCGGGCUAAUACCGCAUAUUACUCUUUGGAGGAAAGGCUGGGGCAACCUGGCGCUUUAGGAGGAGCAUGCGUCCGAUUAGCUAGUUGGUUAGGUAAAGGCUGACCAAGGCGAUGAUCGGUAGCUGGUCUGAGAGGAUGAUCAGCCACACUGGGACUGAGACACGGCCCAGACUCCUACGGGAGGCAGCAGUGGGGAAUAUUGGACAAUGGGGGCAACCCUGAUCCAGCAAUGCCGCGUGUGUGAAGAAGGCCUUCGGGUUGUAAAGCACUUUAGUUGGGGAAGAAGGUGUAUUGUUUAAGAGAUGAUACAUUUGACUGUACCCAAAGAGUAAGCACCGGCUAACUCUGUGCCAGCAGCCGCGGUAA
Molecule: ribosomal RNA, 504 nt
Filed under: uncultured bacterium
Lineage: Bacteria
Description: partial 16S ribosomal RNA
Rfam family: Bacterial small subunit ribosomal RNA
Source: RNAcentral